This 694-nucleotide ribosomal RNA is filed under the name uncultured bacterium. RNAcentral describes it as "bacterial SSU rRNA". It matches the Rfam family "Bacterial small subunit ribosomal RNA", at positions 1 to 697 of the family's 1533-position model. The record is from RNAcentral.
CCCUUAGAGUUUGAUCCUGGCUCAGAAUGAACGUUGGCGGCGUGGAUUAGGCAUGCGAGUCGUACGAGAACCCGCAAGGGGGAAAGUGGCGAACGGGGUAGUAAUGCGUAGGUGACGUGCCCUGUGGUCGGGGAUAGCUUAGGGAAACUUAAGGUAAUACUCGAUGAUCCCGGAAUGUUUGAAGACGAUCCGGGCAAAGGUGUGAUUCCAUCACAGGAGCGGCUUGCGUGGUAUUAGCUAGUUGGUGAGGUAACGGCUCACCAAGGCUGCGAUGCCUAGGGGAUGUUAGCGCAUGAUCCCCACCACUGGGACUGAGAUACUGCCCAGACACCUACGGGUGGCUGCAGUCGAGAAUCUUCGGCAAUGGGCGAAAGCCUGACCGAGCGACGCCGCGUGUGGGAUGAAGGCCCUUGGGUUGUAAACCACUGUCAGAGGGGAUGAAAUGCACGAGGGUACUCCCUUGUGUUUGACAUAGCCUCAGAGGAAGCACGGGCUAAGUUCGUGCCAGCAGCCGCGGUAAGACGAACUGUGCAAACGUUAUUCGGAAUCACUGGGCUUAAAGGGUGCGUAGGCGGUCUUGUAAGUAGGGUGUGAAAGCCCCCGGCUCAACCGGGGAACUGCGUCCUAAACUGCGAGGCUAGAGUGAGGUAGGGGUGUGUGGAACUUCCAGUGGAGCGGUGAAAUGUGUUGAUAU